Molecule: ribosomal RNA, 320 nt
Filed under: uncultured Prevotella sp.
Lineage: Bacteria; Pseudomonadati; Bacteroidota; Bacteroidia; Bacteroidales; Prevotellaceae
Description: bacterial SSU rRNA
Rfam family: Bacterial small subunit ribosomal RNA
Source: RNAcentral
GAUGAACGCUAGCUACAGGCUUAACACAUGCAAGUCGAGGGGCAGCAUUGGGAUAGCUUGCUAUUCCAGAUGGCGACCGGCGCACGGGUGAGUAACGCGUAUCCAACCUUCCCUAUAGUAGAGAAUAGCCCGGCGAAAGUCGAAUUAAUGCUCUAUGUUGUGUUUUGAGGACAUCUGACGAACACCAAAGGUUCACCGCUAUAGGAUGGGGAUGCGUCUGAUUAGCUUGUUGGCGGGGUAACGGCCCACCAAGGCGACGAUCAGUAGGGGUUCUGAGAGGAAGGUCCCCCACAUUGGUACUGAGACACGGACCAAACUCC